RNAcentral lists this ribosomal RNA (650 nucleotides) under uncultured bacterium. Its description in RNAcentral is "bacterial SSU rRNA". It matches the Rfam family "Bacterial small subunit ribosomal RNA", at positions 43 to 700 of the family's 1533-position model. The record is from RNAcentral.
AGGGGAGGCAACAUGGCAGUCGAACGGACAGAUAUGGAAACCUAGUGAAAUAUCUGUUAGUGGCGGACGGGUGAGUCCCUUAAAAAGAACCUGCCAUAUACAGGNGGGAUAANACUUAGACUUAAAAAGAUAAUACCGCAUAAGCGCACAGCUUCGCAUGAAGGAGUGUGAAAAACUAAGGUGGUAUAUGAUGGAUCUCCCAAUGAUUAGCCAGUUGGUGAGGUAACGGCGCACCAAAGCGACGAUCAGUAGCCGGCCUGAGAGGGCGGACGGCCACAUUGGGACUGAGACACGGCCCGGACUCCUGCGGGAGGCAGCAGUGGGGGAUUUUGCACAAUGGGGGAAACCCUGAUGCAGCGACGCCGCGUGAGUGAAGAAGUAAUUCGUUACGUAAAGCUCUAUCAGCAGGGAAGAAAAUGACGGUACUUGACUAAGAAGCCCCGGCUAACUACGUGCCAGCAGCCGCGGUAAUACGUACGGGGCAAGCGUUAUCCGGAAUUACUGGGUGUAAAGGGAGCGCAGACGGCAGUGCAAGUCUGGAGUGAAAGCCCGUGGCUUAACUACGGGACUGCUCUGGAAACUGUGCAGCUAGAGUGCAGGAGAGGCAGGCGGAAUUCCUAGUGUAGCGGUGAAAUGCGUAGAAUCACUAU